UUUAUUUGAGAGUUUGAUCCUGGCUCAGGAUGAACGCUGGCGGCGUGCCUAACACAUGCAAGUUGAGCGAUUUACUUCGGUAAAGAGCGGCGGACGGGUGAGUAACGCGUGGGUAACCUACCCUGUACACACGGAUAACAUACCGAAAGGUAUGCUAAUACGGGAUAAUAUAUUUGAGAGGCAUCUCUUGAAUAUCAAAGGUGAGCCAGUACAGGAUGGACCCGCGUCUGAUUAGCUAGUUGGUAAGGUAACGGCUUACCAAGGCGACGAUCAGUAGCCGACCUGAGAGGGUGAUCGGCCACAU
RNAcentral lists this ribosomal RNA (304 nucleotides) under Clostridioides difficile. RNAcentral's name for it is "partial 16S ribosomal RNA". It matches the Rfam family "Bacterial small subunit ribosomal RNA", at positions 1 to 313 of the family's 1533-position model. The record is from RNAcentral. Lineage: Bacteria; Bacillati; Bacillota; Clostridia; Peptostreptococcales; Peptostreptococcaceae.